This 492-nucleotide long non-coding RNA is filed under the name Homo sapiens (human). RNAcentral's name for it is "HSALNT0337493". Lineage: Eukaryota; Metazoa; Chordata; Mammalia; Primates; Hominidae. The record is from RNAcentral.
UGCUGAGUUUUCCAGCGUUUAUCUUUCUCCCGCGCUGGAUGCUUCCUGCCUUUGAACAUCAGACUCCAAGUUCUUUGGCUUCUGGACUCUUGGACUUACACCAGUGGUUUGUCGGGGCUCUCAGGUCUUCUGCCACAGACUGAAGGCUAUACUGUCAGCUUCCCUACUUUUGAGGUUUUGGGACUCGGACUGAGCCACUGCUGGCUUCCUCGCUCCUCAGCUUGCACGCGGCCUAUCGGGGGACUUCACCUUGUGAGCGUAAUGCUGACUUGGUUUAUGUAUCUAUCUCUUUCCCACACCAUCUAUGCCUCAGAGAAAUCUUCACAAACUCAGCUUCAAGGAUGGGUCAGAGCCUUGGAAACUGCAUCUGCCUGGCUGUCAUUUUCUGCAAGUGCUGGUGUAAUUUCAAGAUUUGCUUGCCAAAUGCAUUAUAGCAUACUGGACAAAAACAAGGACUGCUGGGAUGAAAUUGAGAUUAUGAAGCUCUUGAGG